GGAUAGCCUUUCGAAAGAAAGAUUAAUACCCGAUGGCAUAAUUAGACCGCAUGGUCUUAUUAUUAAAGAAUUUCGGUUAUCGAUGGGGAUGCGUUCCAUUAGGCAGUUGGUGAGGUAACGGCUCACCAAACCUUCGAUGGAUAGGGGUUCUGAGAGGAAGGUCCCCCACAUUGGAACUGAGACACGGUCCAAACUCCUACGGGAGGCAGCAGUGAGGAAUAUUGGUCAAUGGGCGCAGGCCUGAACCAGCCAAGUAGCGUGAAGGAUGACUGCCCUAUGGGUUGUAAACUUCUUUUAUAUGGGAAUAAAGUUUUCCACGUGUGGAAUUUUGUAUGUACCAUAUGAAUAAGGAUCGGCUAACUCCGUGCCAGCAGCCGCGGUAAUACGGAGGAUCCGAGCGUUAUCCGGAUUUAUUGGGUUUAAAGGGAGCGUAGGUGGACAGUUAAGUCAGUUGUGAAAGUUUGCGGCUCAACCGUAAAAUUGCAGUUGAUACUGGCUGUCUUGAGUACAGUAGAGGUGGGCGGAAUUCGUGGUGUAGCGGUGAAAUGCUUAGAUAUCACGAAGAACUCCGAUUGCGAAGGCAGCUCACUGGACUGC
This 597-nucleotide ribosomal RNA is filed under the name uncultured Bacteroidales bacterium. RNAcentral describes it as "bacterial SSU rRNA". It matches the Rfam family "Bacterial small subunit ribosomal RNA", at positions 141 to 737 of the family's 1533-position model. Lineage: Bacteria; Pseudomonadati; Bacteroidota; Bacteroidia; Bacteroidales. The record is from RNAcentral.